UAGGGAAUCUUCCACAAUGGACGCAAGUCUGAUGGAGCAACGCCGCGUGAGUGAAGAAGGUUUUCGGACCGUAAAGCUCUGUUGUUGGUGAAGAAGGAUAGAGGUAGUAACUGGCCUUUAUUUGACGGUAAUCAACCAGAAAGUCACGGCUAGCUACGUGCCAGCAGCCGCGGUAAUACGUAGGUGGCAAGCGUUGUCCGGAUUUAUUGGGCGUAAAGCGAGCGCAGGCGGAAGAAUAAGUCUGAUGUGAAAGCCCUCGGCUUAACCGAGGAAUUGCAUCGGAAACU
This 287-nucleotide ribosomal RNA is filed under the name uncultured bacterium. Its description in RNAcentral is "partial 16S ribosomal RNA". It matches the Rfam family "Bacterial small subunit ribosomal RNA", at positions 355 to 634 of the family's 1533-position model. The record is from RNAcentral.